AACGAACGCUGGCGGCAUGCCUAACACAUGCAAGUCGAACGAGACCUUCGGGUCUAGUGGCGCACGGGUGCGUAACGCGUGGGAACCUGCCCUUAGGUUCGGAAUAACUCCCCGAAAGGGGUGCUAAUACCGGAUAAUGUCUUCGGACCAAAGAUUUAUCGCCUUUGGAUGGGCCCGCGUUGGAUUAGCUAGUUGGUAGGGUAAAAGCCUACCAAGGCGACGAUCCAUAGCUGGUCUGAGAGGAUGAUCAGCCACACUGGGACUGAGACACGGCCCAGACUCCUACGCGAGGCAGCAGUGGGGAAUAUUGGACAAUGCGCGAAAGCCUGAUCCAGCAAUGCCGCGUGAGUGAUGAAGGCCUUAGGGUUGUAAAGCUCUUUUACCCGGGAUGAUAAUGACAGUACCGGGAGAAUAAGCUCCGGCUAACUCCGU
RNAcentral lists this ribosomal RNA (432 nucleotides) under uncultured bacterium. RNAcentral describes it as "partial 16S ribosomal RNA". It matches the Rfam family "Bacterial small subunit ribosomal RNA", at positions 29 to 506 of the family's 1533-position model. The record is from RNAcentral.